CACUGGAGAACUGAUUUCAGUCGGAAGGAGCAAGUCAUCUCUAAGAAGUCGGAGGCCACUGCUCCUGCUGCAGCUUUACUUGCAGCUAUUCUCCUCAGAUAUAUGCAAAGAGAGAGAUCCUGGAGCCAGUUAGGCUGCAUCCAGCAGAGCUGUGGGGUAUCUGGUUGCCAGCAUGUGAGGGAAUAUCUGGGAAUAUAGGGCUUCUUGACUUCCCUGGCCCUGAGGGCAGGCUUUGGUGGAAGAAUCGUCAUAGUGUGUCAAUACUAUUCCAGGGAAAUGAGUCAAAGCAUUGCUCUAAGCUUCUACAAAAGUAAAAGUUAUUACCAAACAAACCACAUUCCAUGGUGCAUAACAGCUAUAACAACACUAUGACCCUGUUACAACAAGGAAGAUAUCAAAAUUCACCAUUUUAGAAUGGAAAACCUACACCAUGAAGAAAAAAGAAGCCAAACUAUACAGUAACCAACAAUGUACUUAGUCCAAUAAAAGAUAUUUAAAAAAAAAAA
This is a long non-coding RNA of Alligator mississippiensis (American alligator), 506 nucleotides long. RefSeq lists it as uncharacterized. NCBI's taxonomy places the organism in Eukaryota, Metazoa, Chordata, Crocodylia, Alligatoridae. The record is from RefSeq and is a predicted model, not a curated record. The transcript is spliced from 2 exons.